AGACUUGUCCCGACGGGGCUGAGCCACCCAUCGGGCCUGGGUGCCAGGGUGGCAGGGCAGGGGCAGUGCGCACGCGGCCAGAGGAAGGUGCUGAGCCCACAGUUUCCCCUCCCCGCCCUGUGGGGCUGUGCCAGCUCAGCCGGCAGCCCUGGGCAGGUGGGCGGGGUGUGUCAUGAGGGCGUGUUGGGCAGGCCGACCACACCGCGAAUGUGCAGCCAGCACUUGUCCUCAGGCCGAGGCACGAGCUGGGGCUGGGCAUGUGAGGGCCGCGUCUGCCACCCUGGGGGUGUGUCUGCUCCGUCUGGGACCCUGGGUGUGACAGUGUGUCUGGGCGUGACGUGACGGGGUCGCUGCAAUCUGUGGGGCCCUGUGGGACUCCCCAGGCUGGAAUUGUGCGUGUGUGGCGGAGGGUGUGGGAUGUCAGACUGAGUGGGUAAGACCGACCUGCUGUCUGUGAGGUUGUGACGUGUCAGACCUCUGUGUGGGGUGUGUCUGGUGGGACUGUGACAGGUCCGACUGUGGACAUGCACCCUGGACCUGUUUGUGACUGUGAACCCAUGGAGGAGGAGGUGGCUGUUGAGGGAUCCAUUUCCUGUCCGGGCUCUGAUGCCGUGAUGCGUGUGCGUGCAUGACACUGUUUGAAUCAGUGUCUGGUGUGCGGUGGUUGCGACCAUGACCCUGUGGAAUAUAUUUGUAUAUGACUGUGUUGUGCCAGGUCCCUAUUGAAGUCUCUGCUCGUGUUGUGUCCCAGUGAGGCUCCGAGGCUGGGUGGUGUUUACGUGAUGGGCUGACACUUUCUCUAUUUGUAUCUGUGUAUAUGUGGGCUGCAGCUGCUGCCAAAUGACACAGCCCAUGUGUUACGGGCCCUGCAGGAAUCUCUGUGUGUCCACGGCGGCUCUGAGAGGUGAAUAUUUGUGUAGUGUGGGGCACCGUCCGUGUUUCCCGCCGUGUGAGUGUGUCUGCAUGUGUACACGCACCACAUCCUCAUAGGGCUGCAGCGAUUACAGCCGAGUCACUGUGUCCUAGCUUGUGACUCUGCCUCUUGGGGCCAGACCUCAGCAUCUCUAUACCUAUCCAUUUGUUGGCAUGUCCUUGCAUAGUGAACUCCUGCCUCCCCACUCCUCCCUCAGCCCUGUGUGCUUUGGGACCUGAGGCCAGAGGAGUAACCACAUUUCUACCCCUAUGCUGAGCUGGGAGGGCCCCAGGUCCCUGGCACCCAGACCCAGUGCUGCCAACAGCUCUCAUGCCCACAGGCAAAGGAACCGCAGCACUCAUACUGUCCUUCCUCCCAGGACAAUCACUGGGUGUGGGGAAGUGAAACCUAGGAGAAAGAGCAGAAACUGAGAGGCAGGAGAAAGAGGAAGCAGGAGAGAAUUCACAAGCAGGACCAUAGCAGAUGGGAAGAAAUGGAGACAGCAGAGGGAGACCCACCUGUGGCUGCUGCCAUUUCUUGCCUGGACAGCUGGUCUGUCUGUGCUCACCCUCACCCUGACACUUCUGUCCACUCCCAACCAUGAGCAAGACGGCGGACCCUCUGAGCGCCUAGGUCAAACCCUGCCAUGGCUCCUGUCUUCCUUGAGUGCAAGUUCUUUUUUUUUUUUUUUUUGAGAUGGAGUCUCACUCUGUUGCCCAGGCUGGAGUGCAGUGGUGCGACUUUAGCUCACUGCAACCUCUGCCUCCCCUGUUCAUGCGAUUCUCCUGCCUCAGGCCCCUGAGUAGCUGGGAUACAGGUGUGCACCACAAUGCCAGACUAAUUUUUUUUUGUAUUUUUUAUUUUUAUUUAUUUAUUUGAGAUGGAGUCUCACUCUGUCUCCCAGGCUGGAGUGAAGUGGCG
RNAcentral lists this long non-coding RNA (1834 nucleotides) under Homo sapiens (human). RNAcentral's name for it is "HSALNT0397955". The record is from RNAcentral. Lineage: Eukaryota; Metazoa; Chordata; Mammalia; Primates; Hominidae.